Molecule: ribosomal RNA, 206 nt
Filed under: uncultured bacterium
Lineage: Bacteria
Description: partial 16S ribosomal RNA
Rfam family: Bacterial small subunit ribosomal RNA
Source: RNAcentral
UACGUAGGGUGCAAGCGUUGUCCGGAAUUAUUGGGCGUAAAGAGCUCGUAGGCGGUCUGUCGCGUCUGCUGUGAAAAACUCGGGGGCUUUAACCCCCGAGCCUGCAGUGGAUACGGGGCAGACUAGAGGUAGGUAGGGGAGAAUGGAAUUCCCGGUGUAGCGGUGAAAAUGCGCAGAUAUCGGGGAGGAACACCGGUGGCGAAGGC